Non-coding RNA from Arachis ipaensis, 251 nucleotides. Lineage: Eukaryota; Viridiplantae; Streptophyta; Magnoliopsida; Fabales; Fabaceae. The record is from RefSeq and is a predicted model, not a curated record.
GAUGCUCUUUCUUCACCAAGAAGAAAAUAGAAUCUGACAUAUAUGUGAUGCAGGUAAUGCAAAGCCUCAUAGACCUAGGAGCACUUCAACCUACAGGGGACUUAUCAUCAGUAAGAAGAUCUGUACAAUUUUUCUUGAACAAUCUGCUUAACCAGACACCAGAUCAGGCACAGACUCUUUCUGCCAUUGGUGAGGAUCUAUUUGCUAUAGCACAAGAUCAGCCAUUCCGUUUUCCAUCUAUUUGCUGGUUU